UCUUCCGCCUAAAUUUUUUCUUGCGUAGUAUUGAUGUUUCAAAAUAUGUCGCUUAGAUAUUUAGAAUAUGAUGUCUUAUAGUUUAUACGCUUUAAAAAUUUACAACUGCAUAACAAAAUACUUUACGUUGUAAGAGUUAUCUCCCAAAACACUGUUUUUCUUGUGGCCACUACUCCUUCGCAACCGUAAAAGAUUACGACAAAUUUAUUUUACCAAAUUGCUCGUUACUUCUUCAGGAUCAGGAUAUUUAUUUGGACCGAAGCUAUCCGGAGACUCCAUAUGAGAGUUAUUUCCCCUUAUGCAUUUGAUAUUAGUGAUAUGCGUUUCUAACUGGUAAACCAUCAGUGAUAUGGGCC
This 356-nucleotide long non-coding RNA is filed under the name Mytilus galloprovincialis (Mediterranean mussel). The record is from RNAcentral. Lineage: Eukaryota; Metazoa; Mollusca; Bivalvia; Mytilida; Mytilidae.